UAAUGUCUAAAUACUGUAUGCUGUUAAUAGUUUCCUCAUUCAUUUUUCCAGUCUGGAACAGUGAGCAAACCAGACAUCAUAGGAGCAGCUGAUCACACAAUCUGGUGGAAAGCUGUUGAGCUGCAUCUGUUUCUAUAGCACUGGUUUACUUCAUAUUGAGUGAUGGUGGAGACGGGCUUUGAAAGGCCGGCGGAACGCCAGACUGGGAGAGAGAGUUCGAGUCACACACAUGCACAACCCCAGCUGGAGCUAAAUGCUAGCAGUGCCUGAGUACUGGAGACGUGGAAAACCAUCCGGCGCUGGGUCAACUGGAAGGACCGCGGUUCCUCUCCAGAGUUGGAGGGGAGUAAGCACAAGCUGAAUAGGUCCCCAGCCUGAAUCGGGCGAUGGGGGAGUGUGGCAGGCCAGGCGGGGCAGAGCGAGGAUGGAGAGGAGCAAGGCCGAGAUAUACACCUGGGGCGAAUGAUCUCGUCCAGCUGUGAGUGAUGAUGCGUAGUAGGCGGGGGAUAAAGCCAGGAGCAGAGCUGCAGUCGGGAGAGAGACACCGAGAGAGAGAGACACGUUGAAACUGUUUGUGUUUAUGUCGCUAUGUUUUCAGUUUGAUGUGGUGUCUGAUUAAAGUUCGUUGAAUGUGCAUCCGGCUCCAGCUUCCACCUUUCCGUCUUUCACAAUGCUUAAUUGAAUCAGUAAGGAAGGGUAGGUCAAAUAAUGACAUUUUUUUACAUUCAGCCUGUUCUAAUUGUAACCAUUGGUUGUAGAGAUGAUUGCCAUUUAUCCAUUUGCAAAGAUUCUCUCAUUGUGCUGCUUAGUAGUUAUAAUGAAAAUUAGGUGCCCCUAAUCCUCCCAUGUCCUUCCUUUUUUAAAGUGUGUUUAGAAUUUUUCUAGGGUUCUUAUUUUUUCAAUAAAAUGAUUUAUUUAUGUAAUGUGCCAAACCAUUUUUUAGUGGGUUCAUUCAGAAUCAUUGUGAACAGGUAGUUUAAUUUUGGUAAUAUUAACAUUUUUACUGUAGUGAUUUGUCCUAUGAGAAAGUAUUGUUUUUAGUAAUGGAGUAAAAUUGAAAUUAAAUAAAUCCAAUAGGUGGGGGAGAUGUGUAUUCCUCGAUAGGUGAUAUUGCCUAUGCUAAAUGGAGUGUUCUGUAGUCCUAUGUCCUGAGGUUUUUUAUUUGUUGAUAAAAUUGUAG
This is a long non-coding RNA of Myxocyprinus asiaticus (Chinese sucker), 1180 nucleotides long. RefSeq lists it as uncharacterized. NCBI's taxonomy places the organism in Eukaryota, Metazoa, Chordata, Actinopteri, Cypriniformes, Catostomidae. The record is from RefSeq and is a predicted model, not a curated record. The transcript is spliced from 3 exons.